This 81-nucleotide ribosomal RNA is filed under the name Dipodomys ordii (Ord's kangaroo rat). The record is from RNAcentral. Lineage: Eukaryota; Metazoa; Chordata; Mammalia; Rodentia; Heteromyidae.
UGGUACUGCCAUACCACCCUGAACGCGCCCGAUCUCGUCUGAUCUCGGAAACAAAAUACAAGUGGUUUGGGGUUAUCUCAU